Molecule: long non-coding RNA, 5800 nt
Filed under: Podarcis lilfordi (Lilford's wall lizard)
Lineage: Eukaryota; Metazoa; Chordata; Lepidosauria; Squamata; Lacertidae
Source: RNAcentral
UGACACAGAACGCAAGAAUGCUGCAGAGGAUUGUGGACACUUCCAAGGGAGGGGAAGUUUUUCCAGCCUAAGGGUCACAUUAACUUCUGUGUGACCUUCCAAGGUCCAUGUCUUGGUAAUGGGCAAGGCCAGAAGCAAAAAGAAGUGGGCAGCAGUACAAAUGUAAAUUUUAACUUUGUUCACUAGGCUAGUUUCUACACACCUUCUCUGCAUCUUUCGUUGAGACAAGCAGGGGGCAUAUCUCAGGGCUCAAAGACACAUUCCUACCGGGGAUGAGGAAACAUUUGGGAUACGAGACAGGGCCAGUGAGGGGGUGUGGGCUUUGGAGAGUUCUGGAGACCAGGAAGAGAGGCCUGGGCUUUUUCCACCCCUGUUCUGAUACAGCUCUAGUGAACUCAGGCCCAAUCUUGUAAUGAUGAAGUGUGUAUAAUAUCAUACCCUCCAACAUUUCUCUGAAGAAAAUAGGGACAUCAAUAUUAAUAAUAAUACCUUGUCCAACUGACUGGGUUGCCCCAGCCACUCUAGGCAGCUGCCAACACAUAUAAAAACAUAAUAAAGCAUUUAAAUAAGCUUCCCUAUACAGGUUGUAUAGUUACUCAUCUCCUUGGCUUGGGAACUGCAUAACUCCAUACUCUCUGACGAAAAUAGGAACAUCCUACCAUACCCUCCAACAUUUCUCCAAUGAAAAUAGGGAUAUCCUAAGGAAAAGCAGGACCCAAUCAGAAACUGGGAUGGCGUCUGUAAAUCCGGAACUGUCCCUGGAAAGCAGGGACACUUGAAGGGUCUGUAAUAUUCAAAGCUGAGUGAAGCACUGUAUGGAAGCUCCCUUCUGUUUGAGUAUACUCAGAGAGGCAAGAGAAGAUCAAAUAAUGAGGUCUAAAAGCAAGUAGACAGCAACAACAACAAAAACCACCUAUGGUGCUAAUCACAAAUAUUCCAGCACACUCCCAUGACUGAAAAGUUUAUGUACAAAGCAGCCGUUGUUUUCUGCGUGUGCUGACUCAAGCAGAGCCACAGUGGGGAAAUGAAAUAAGAAGCUAGAGUAACUGCUGUACACAGAAUAUUCAAUUUGAUAUUCCAUUAGAGCAGCCUUUCUCUAGGGGCCCAGCUUCAUCCUACUGAGGAGAAAGGUACAAAAAACAGUUAGUAUGGGAUUUACCUUAGCUAGACCCAAGAGACUUGAGUUAGGUAAUGAAUUAUUCCAACUGAAUUAAGAUUGAUUUGCUCAUUUACCAUCCUAAUACAGCAGCGGAUGUGGCUAGCUGGGGCUUGGGAUUUGUCGAGGGUCCCAGGUCUAAGAUAGAUCUUGUUAGUUUCCUAUUCUCUACUGACAAUCCAGUCUACGGAAAGGGAUAGAGCAGUGAAUGUCUCCAUUAUAAAUCAUCCUUAUUGAGUGACCACUUUUAUGGCAAGUAACCUAGCUCCACUAGAGAAGUUUCAUAUAACCAUUAAUAGCUUUUAUCGUUAGUUUAUAGGUUGACCCAAAGAGUCAUAAAAUGCCCCACAAGUUAAAUCAUGCAGUUAAUUAAAAAAAAAAGUAAAUAGCAAUCACCUUGGAAAUAAUUGGAAAAUCUUAACAUGAAAAAUAUGGCUUCCAAAAAUUAUGUACUUAUACCAUAAGUUUGUUACCAACUUAGCUAUAUAUACAUUUCGUAUUCCAGAACUAGACAUUGUAUUAGAUGCUAACAUUGCAUCAAAUAACAAUUGAUUUGUUGGCAUCCAUCUGACUCGGAAAUAAUUCAGCGUGACUCCGGGGCUGAACUCAAACUGCUGCAUUAUUGGUCUCUGCCACUAUUGGUCUUGUCCACUCAAUCUGCUGGAGCCAGUCUUCACAUGCAGGGCAGGUCCCUAACUCAUUGAGAGUUUGAGACCCCUCAGCUACCCUCACCUGGUUUAGCUGGCCAGUCAAAGCCAUUCCCAGGGUGUGGUCACAGGCGAGAGCUGAGUGCAGUUUAGGGAUCAAAGGUUGAACAAUCUACCCCAGACGAAGCAGGACGUGUCCCCCACCAGAGGUACCACCCUUCACUUAAAACCCCAUACACCCCUAUGAUUGGUUUACUAGAUGCAAAUUAUAUAAUACACAAGCAGUCUAAGAGGUCAUUCUGAACCUAAUAAACAGAUGCAGCUAUGAAAAUGUUAGCAGUGAAGUCUAAGAUGCUUUGAUGUUUCAAUCCUUAGUUGUGCAUAACACCCUUCUCACCCACAUUUCAGAUAGGCCUUCUCAGUAGUGGUUCCCCAUUUUUGGAAUGCCCUCCCUAGUCAGGUGUGUCUGUUUUGAUCAUAAGUGACUUUCAGGAGAAAUUUAAAAACAUUCCUGUUUACCCAGGCAACAUCAUGAAAUUAGCGCCUGUGGGGUAUGUGAUUGAUUUUAAAUGUUUUUAGAUGUUUAAAUGUUUUGAAAUGUUUUUUAAAGAAGGUUUUGUCAUUGUUUUUAAAAUGUUUUAGGUCUGUUUUUAUUUUAUUUCAAAUUGCAUUGUUUUACCUUAUUGAGUUUUGCUGCCCUUGGUUUCUUUGGUUGGAAGGAUGGGAUAGGAAUUUAAUUAAAUGAUUGAUGAUAAAAUCAGAUUUUUUUGCCAAAUUGAUUGCAAAUUGCAAGAGUGGUAUGGAAGGUCAGAUCUGAGCUCAGGACACCACCAAAAAUAAUAGGAUAUUCCUAUGCAUGUGUGUUUCAAGCACAUUACAUCAUGGAAACAAUCGGUGUGUAAGUUGCAAGCUGUGUAGUGCAAGUCAUCAUUGGCUUUCUGAUUUCUUUUGUCAGAUUCAGAUAGUAAAAUAAAACCAGAUUGUUUCAGAGGAACGUGGUAUUUGCCAAUUUCCAAAAGAAUUUAUCUGAUCUUCACCUCUUGGGCAGGAAUAUGGAAUUCAUCAGCUUUUGCACUUCUCCAAAUGUUGUUCAUGGUCCUCAGCAAUUUAAACAUGUCACAAUUGAUAUUUCCAUACAUAAUGUGAGAGGAAAUAACAGUUAAGUAUGCUUUAAAAUACUGUGUGUGUGUGUGUGUGUGUGUGUGUGUGUGUGUUCAUAUAUAAAUAUGAAUAAAGAAUAAAGAAUCGCAGAAUGCAUAAAUAAAGAAGAAUGGAAUUAUAGGUUUAAACAUGCAAACAUACUGUAUUAUGGACCACAAAGAGAGAGAUUAACCUAUGCCUAUGUUGUUGUUUGGAAAAUUAGGGUCAAGCAUUCCUUUAAGGCUGGUUUUGCACUUAUUAGCCAUCUUAUGAAGCUGCCUAUACAAGACAGCAAUGAAUGGCAUUCAUCACCAUCAUGGUAGUGAUUUAUAGAAUACCUAUUGUUCUCUAGCAAUUUACAUUAUGACCUUAUUCAAAUCUGUAUCUAUGGUUUAGAAGUGCUAAGUAUGCCAAGAUAUUAUAUAGCUUCGACAACAGAUGCUUAAACAUAAUUGUUCCCUAGAAAAGCUCUUCAACUUCUACUAACAACCUCGAUGCCCUUAUCUUUCUGAAAGAGAAUAAAUGCUCCAAUCUUUAAGAACUAAUGGAACAUUGGUCUGUCAACCUCCAUCUUUGCUGCUAUUUUCACACAAGACAGAAAUAACCCAUGCUUAAAAUAGUCCCUUAAUCUUAACUUUGUUUCCUAGCUGUAGAUUUAGGACCAAAACAGGGGGAAAUCAUGGAGCAUAGGUUUAUCAGUGACCAUGAUAACUAAUGCAGUUCUAGGUUUAGAGGCAGUGCACCUCUAAAGGCCAGUUGCUUGAGGUGGAGAAGUAGGGGAAGUGGGGCAAGUUAUCCCUUUGAUGCUCUGAUUGUGAGCUUCCCAAAAAGGAAGGAGGAGAGGACAGAGCAUGAAGAAAGUGUUGUCAGUGGAGAGGGGCUCUUUCCCCAUCUGGACCCUCUGAGAAACUCAACAAACUUGCUGCACCAGAACUGGGUCUGGAGAGUGCAGCUGAAUGGGACACAGCUGUGGGCUGCCUGAGGAGGUGCCAUCCACUCAACCACUCACUGGGUGACCUUGGGCCAGUCACUCACACUCACUCUUGCCUACCUCAGAGCGUUGUUUUAAUGAUGAAAAGGAAGGGAAUGGCCUUGGAGUAAAGGUGGGCUACACAUGUACCAAAUAAAUACUUUUUUUGGUAGCAGGUCUAUCAUAAAGUGACGCUAUGAUCACACCAUAUAUGCAACACUGAAUGGGAUCGUUAAAGAGGGCAGAGCUUUGUUAUUACACUUUUAGAGAUCUCAUAAAAUCUUUCCAGGUAUCUCUAGCCAGAUGUUUGUCUCGCAUUACCUAUAAAGCUAAAGUAAUUUACUGCACUGUCAAUUUGUUUGAUGCUGCAGGCAGAAGUCAUUGGGAUUUUAUGAGUUGCUUUUUCUUCUUGAUAGUCGCCAUGCCCAAAAUAAAGCUUCCCUCAAAGGUUAAUACAUGACUGAGCAUCUCCCAUUAACUAUAUUCAUUAUUAAUUGAGCUUUACUCAGAAAUAAAAAGGCUGAUGGGAAAGAUAUGGAAAGCAGGUAUGGACCAAGUUAAAUGCUUUGUUGUCCAGCUCAACAUCUGAACAUCAACUUAAGACUUGAUCAUUGAUUGCUGCCAAUUUGUGUUUAAAGUGUCUUUGCUUUUAAGCUGCUUUAUUGUGUAUUUUUAUAUUUUGUUUUAUAUCACAUAUUUUCUCAUGUGAGCAACCUUGUAUUCCUAUCUUGGAGGAAGGGUGGAGCAUAAAAGCUAUGUAACAGAUAAUGAGAUAUUUCUCAGUAAUUAAGACAGACAAACUCAUAGCAAGCUGAAAAUAUUGUUUCUUAUUUCUGAAAAUACUCUACAGUAUUUUCUUAAGCAACACAAUUAUUGGGAUAUCAGUGAAAAUCUGUUACUUGAACAGAAUCUGAACUAUCAUCUUUUAGAUUAUAAGCAUGCACUUUUUCUGCUUGAACCAUUUAUUUCAGAGAUGGGUAACCUGUGACCAUCAAAAUGAUACUGGCUGGGGCUUAUGGGAAUUGGAACUCAACAUCACCUGGAGGACCACAGGUUCCCCAUCCCUGAUUUGCAUAACGGCUUGGCAUACAUUUCCUCUUCUGCGAAUCAUUGCAAUACUUUUCUGCAGACUGGAAUAGCAGUUGGGUCCAUGCAGCUAUCCUGGUAAUAUCUGUUCUUUAGCAAAUAUGAGGGGGAAAUGACAUGAUCAGUAUCCAGACUGCAGCUCUACAGCCAUUAAAAGGAGCUAACAAACAGGUAUUAGAAUCUGAUGUAUCUGUACAUAUAAUUUAUAUGUAUUAUAGGAAAAUCAGCAACUGACAGGUUGCAAAAGAUGCUGCAUGUACACUGACUGUUCCUUUGUUUUCAUCAAAUGGGCUUUGAAACUGAGAGAAAACAGCCUAGCAUCAGAAGAUUUUAUGUGUGAAAUACCUCUUAUUAAGUUGUCUACAGAGCAUACAGAAUGCAGAAUAAGUGCAAUAUUUGACAAGAAAGAAUAUGUGUUAAAUAACAUAGUCUGACUGAUGUUUAACACAAAAUGGAAAUGCUAUUUCCGCAUAGUGCAGACAGUUGAUAAGAAAAUGUUCCUGUAAACACUUUCUGCAGUCUUUUAUAUAUUCACUAUGACUUCUCUGCAAUCCAGUUAUUGCCAGCAAGGGGGGGGGGGAGGGGUGUGUGGACUCCUACAAAUUCAUUACCAUUUUAAAAAUCCAAUUGGUAAAAGUUCUCGUGAGAAAUAUAGUUAAGGUUGCAGAAGCAUGCAUAUAUCAACAGCCAAAGAAACUGCAAAAGCUGGUGACAUGACAUGACAAUCUGUAACUGUGCCAUAUGAUAAAAUACAAUGAAGGGUGGCUACAAACAUCAGAGGGAGAAAAGAACCUAGUUAUG